AAACUAACAAGGAUUCCCCUAGUAACGGCGAGUGAAGCGGGAUGAGCUCAAAUUUAAAAUCUGGCGGUCUCAGAUCGUCCGAGUUGUAGUCUAGAGAAGCGUUUUCCGUGCUGGCCUGUGUACAAGUCCGUUGGAACACGGCGUCAUAGAGGGUGAGAAUCCCGUCCUUGACACAGAUCUCCAGUGCUUUGUGAUGCGCUCUCAAAGAGUCGAGUUGUUUGGGAAUGCAGCUCAAAAUGGGUGGUAAAUUCCAUCUAAAGCUAAAUAUUGGCGAGAAACCGAUAGCGAACAAGUACCGUGAGGGAAAGAUGAAAAGCACUUUGGAAAGAGAGUUAAACAGUACGUGAAAUUGUUGAAAGGGAAACGAUUGAAGUCAGUCAUGCUUUCCGAGACUCAGCCGGUUCUGCCGGUGUACUUCUCGGUUUGCAGGCCAGCAUCAGUUUUGGGCGGUGGAAAAGGUUGGCGGGAAUGUGGCAUCCUCGGAUGUGUUAUAGCCCGCUUUCGAAUACAUCGCCCGGGACUGAGGAACGCAGCACGCCUCUUGUAGGUCGGUCUUCGGACACGUCCGUGCUUAGGAUGCUGGCAUAAUGGCUUUAA
RNAcentral lists this ribosomal RNA (597 nucleotides) under Tausonia pullulans. RNAcentral describes it as "eukaryotic LSU rRNA". It matches the Rfam family "Eukaryotic large subunit ribosomal RNA", at positions 62 to 643 of the family's 3401-position model. The record is from RNAcentral. Lineage: Eukaryota; Fungi; Basidiomycota; Tremellomycetes; Cystofilobasidiales; Mrakiaceae.